AAGUGUUGAAGCAAAUAUUGCAAUCAGUUUCGACCUGAUCUUAGAUAAAAUCAUUUAUCCUCACUUU
RNAcentral lists this transfer RNA (67 nucleotides) under Basidentitermes aurivillii. RNAcentral describes it as "tRNA-Arg". The record is from RNAcentral. Lineage: Eukaryota; Metazoa; Arthropoda; Insecta; Blattodea; Termitidae.